This 468-nucleotide ribosomal RNA is filed under the name uncultured bacterium. RNAcentral describes it as "partial 16S ribosomal RNA". It matches the Rfam family "Bacterial small subunit ribosomal RNA", at positions 28 to 507 of the family's 1533-position model. The record is from RNAcentral.
GACGAACGCUGGCGGCGUGCUUAACACAUGCAAGUCGAACGGAAAGGCCCUGCUUUUGUGGGGUGCUCGAGUGGCGAACGGGUGAGUAACACGUGAGUAACCUGCCCUUGACUUUGGGAUAACUUCAGGAAACUGGGGCUAAUACCGGAUAGGAGCUCCUGCUCCAUGGUGGGGGUUGGAAAGUUUCGGCGGUUGGGGAUGGACUCGCGGCUUAUCAGCUUGUUGGUGGGGUAGUGGCUUACCAAGGCUUUGACGGGUAGCCGGCCUGAGAGGGUGACCGGCCACAUUGGGACUGAGAUACGGACCAGACUCCUACGGGAGGCAGCAGUGGGGAAUAUUGCACAAUGGUCGGAAGCCUGAUGCAGCAACGCCGCGUGCGGGAUGACGGCCUUCGGGUUGUAAACCGCUUUCGCCUGUGACGAAGCGUGAGUGACGGUAAUGGGUAAAGAAGCACCGGCUAACUACGUG